GAUAAGGUAACUUUAUGAGUUAGAUUAUAGUCAUGAAUUUUAUUUAUAAAAAAUUAAUUUUAUUAAUAGGAACAAAAAGUGAAGAGUUACAGUUAAAGGAAAAUUCAAUUUGGAGGGGUAAACCAAAUUUUUACCAAACCACCAUGCAUUCCAAUCACCAAGGAGACAAUAAUUUACCCACUGAGUUUAAUUUUUCACAUGUUCUAUUAGGCGUGAAGGAAAAGAAAAGUGGUCCAAAUAUUUCAAUAUGUCUCUGUUGAAGAAUACACGAGUUUCACAUUGGAAACUUAACAAAAUAGAAAGUCCCAUAUAAUAAAUGGUUCCACUCCUAAUAACAUCAAUGCCUUUUGUAUAAAACCUCACACCUGCUAAAUAGGUGGUUAAGUUGGGGACAAUAUCGAUGUUACUAGUGGUGGGCCAAGGGUCUAUCCCUCUGAAAUUUUAACAUGGUAUCAGAGCGGGUCGGUUGACUGGGCCCAAUUAAACCCAAUCAAACAAACUCAAAUCAAACAAAAAUCCUAAAUUGAAUCAAAAUCAAACAAACCCCAAAUUAAAAAAAAAAGAAAAAAAAAGAAAAAAAAGACCGGUGUGGAAUUGGUUGCACGUGUGGCCCACUAAAAAGUGGUCAUACGUGAGGAGGAGUGUUGAAGAAUACACGAGUCCCACAUCGGAAACUUAACAAAAUAGAAAGUCCCAUAUAAUAAAUGGUUCAACUCCUAAUAACAUCGAGUCAUUUUGUAUAAACCCCCACACCUGCUAAACAGGUGGUUAAGUUAGGAAUAAUAUCGAUGUUACUAGUGGUGAGCCAAAUGUCCGUCCCUCUAAAAUCUUAACAGUCUCUGCAAUGAUAACGGCCCUAUAAAUCACAUGCCAAUUGCAAAUUUGUUUCCACACACACGCACACAACACAUAUAUAUUAGAUUGUACUUGUAUACGUAAAUUUACUGCUGUGGCAGUGGCAGUUUAUGCAACAGAUGCAGUUUCAUAGAACCAGCCCUCCCUCUCCCUGCACUUUCAUGAUUGUUCCGUCAUCGUAUAUGUUUGUCUCAUAAUAAAGUAUAUACUCAUAUUUAUAUAAUUCUAAGGAGCUCAUGAUUCAUGCAUGGAAAAUAAGCAGUUUAUGCAGAAAGAUGACGACAAAGGUACUUUUGAAAAACUAUGAAAAAAAUAGACUAUAUAUAUGCUUGGUUUGCAUUAUUUUGUACUCUGUCUAGGCUCGGUUGAGUUGCCGUUUUGCCUUUAAAUUAAAAUGCAGAUAUUCAAGUUCACAAUCGACCUCCAUCUCCAUCACUGUUUUUGUGUUCAUGCAUGUAAGAAUCCUUUGAUAUCGAUGCUUGCAAAUAAUUCUUUUAGAUUGUGACCUUCCUCCCCUAACUCUCUCGUAAGGAGAGGUUGCUUCCAGGAAACUCGUACCUCCCAAAGAGAUGGCCAAAGAGGUCCCACCACAACAAGUUUAAAUCUUAAUAGGAUUAAAUGAUGUAAUUUGGUGGUUGGGGGUGGGGUGGGUUGAUGGGUUUGAAAGAAGAAAACAAGGAAAGGUGAUUGAGAAAAAUUUGUGUAAAUUUGGGUCCCCUGGCAUGAUGGUAUAUUAAUUGUUAUUGUUUUUUCCCCUGGUUGCAUGCUGUGGGUUUUGCAGAAAGCUUUGUGCCUGCUUUUUUAUGUACGACGUGAAUAAUAUACAAGCUUCCAAAUCAGCGUUUAUGCAAGCUGCGAUUCAUCCACAAAAACUCAAAUUCUU
This 1738-nucleotide long non-coding RNA is filed under the name Prunus persica (peach). Its description in RNAcentral is "long non-coding RNA (PPER_LNC007455)". Lineage: Eukaryota; Viridiplantae; Streptophyta; Magnoliopsida; Rosales; Rosaceae. The record is from RNAcentral.